RNAcentral lists this ribosomal RNA (429 nucleotides) under uncultured bacterium. Its description in RNAcentral is "bacterial SSU rRNA". It matches the Rfam family "Bacterial small subunit ribosomal RNA", at positions 355 to 776 of the family's 1533-position model. The record is from RNAcentral.
UGGGGAAUAUUGCGCAAUGGGCGAAAGCCUGACGCAGCCACGCCGUGUGUGUGAUGAAGGCCUUCGGGUCGUAAAGCACUGUCGGGACUCAAGACGGCAAGGAUACCUAACACGGUCCGAGCUGACGGUAAGUCCAAAGGAAGCACCGGCUAACUCUGUGCCAGCAGCCGCGGUAAGACAGAGGGUGCAAGCGUUGUUCGGAAUUAUUGGGCGUAAAGCGCGCGUAGGCGGUCUGCAAAGUCGGGUGUGAAAUCCCGGGGCUCAACCCCGGAAGUGCAUUCGAAACUAACAGACUUGAGUCUCGGAGAGGAUGGCGGAAUUCCUGGUGUAGAGGUGAAAUUCGUAGAUAUCAGGAGGAACAUCCGUGGCGAAGGCGGCCAUCUGGACGAUGACUGACGCUGAGGUGCGAAAGCGUGGGGAGCAAACAGG